UCACUGAGAUUCAUUUGACACCCUUCUCUGGACUAAAAACAAUGUCUGUUGUUACAUAUACCACGAAGAAAGCAGAAACAACCCACACUAGAAUACACGGAAUGGACUGUCUUGCAGAGGUAUCCUAGUCAGUGAAUCCACUCCACGGGAGUUUGGGGCUAACUCUGUUCCGAGCCAAUGUGUUGCUUGGACCUGAAGUGUCCCCCACAAACUCACAUGGUGAGUGCGGAACUGUAACCAGGGCUUUUGAGCACUGAGGGGAUCACAGUGACUCUGCUGUCCUCUGUGGGUUAAUCCGUGGGUGAAUGUGUGGAUUCAUGAUUUAUUGACCCCUGGAGAGGCAGUGGAAACACAGGAGGCGGGCUCUUCCGGAGGAAGGGUGCCCUGGUGGAGGGGGAGCCUUCCUUCAAAGGGGAUAGUUUGUCGCCAGACACUGACUCUCUAGCCACUGCCUUUCUUUAUCGGCUGCCAUUUAGAUGAAAAAUUUGUGUCAUUGUAUCCUCCCUUCCCUGGGGUUCCACCUCACCAAGACCUACCAGAAACUACAGAGCAAGCCAUCCUGGCCUGAAGACUCCCGAACUAUGAGCCAAAACAAAUCCUUCUUUACGUGGACACUCUCGGGACCUUAUCACUGUGACAAUGAUCAUGAGUGGCCUUUUCAGAAAUGAGAUGAGAUUACCUUGAUUUUAAGGAGAGCAGGGUCUGAGGUUUCCCUGUGAAAAUGCUGGACGUUCAUCGUACCAAUGGAAACACCAAAACUAAGGUUGGAAAGCAGGGCACAGGCAGGGCGCGAGGAUGACUUUCCAGCCUUCCCCUAGGUCGGCUGUGAGUAGAAGCUACUCCUGCCUGAGUCACCAGGAAGAACUUGUGUCUACCAGACAGGUCCACUGGGACCUGGACAAGGGCAAAGGAGGGUGGUGCUCACUGAACUAUCCAAGAAAUCCGAUUUCACACAAAAGAAAUACACCCUGGUCCACACGUCGGUGAAUUCUAGCCUUAUUUCUAAAACACACGUGAGGAACUCUGCCCUGUGAAUAGGAAGAGUGGACAGCCCAUCACAUUAGAGGUUUAGGCAUUUCCCAUGUGCAAAUCAAAUGAAUUUAAAGUCUGAAGUCCAAUGUCCAUCUUCUCCCCUCAACAUGGAACCACAGCAAGGAAGGGGACCACAGUGCCCAGCGCGAAGGAACUUCGCAGCAGAGACAGGAUCAGAGAUGGAGAGAAAUAAGAUGGAGCUCUUUCUAGUUCUGCAUAAAAGAAGUUUGGAAAUUGCCCCUUUGACUUAACAACUAAAAAAGACCAGACAAAUAAAAACCCGUAUCUUCUCAGAUCCGUAAGACAGCAGAAGGCUCAGAUUGAAGAGGAAUCGAACGACUGCAAAUAGAGAGGCCCCAAGGGUGUGGAGAACCUUCGGAGCAGAGACCAGGGCCGGAAUCCAGUCCGGAACCAGGUACUGGCCCUGUGGUGAAGCAAGCCUAAGACUCCUGCUCAGAAACCAUGGAAACACCAGCUUGAAGUGGCACAUUUCAAGUUCUGAGAGAGUCCAGUGGCCAAGAAUUCUGUAUCUUUUGAAAUUAUUCUCCCAAUGCAAAGGAGAAAUAAAGACAUUUUUGAGAAAAAAAAACCUAAAACCAAUGAAAUUUUUAUCAGAUUUUCCAUACAAGAAGUGUUAAAAGAAAUUAUUUACAAA
Cavia porcellus (domestic guinea pig) is the source of this 1687-nucleotide long non-coding RNA. RefSeq lists it as uncharacterized. The record is from RefSeq and is a predicted model, not a curated record. The transcript is spliced from 3 exons. NCBI's taxonomy places the organism in Eukaryota, Metazoa, Chordata, Mammalia, Rodentia, Caviidae.